Long non-coding RNA from Lepidothrix coronata (blue-crowned manakin), 2482 nucleotides. RefSeq lists it as uncharacterized. NCBI's taxonomy places the organism in Eukaryota, Metazoa, Chordata, Aves, Passeriformes, Pipridae. The record is from RefSeq and is a predicted model, not a curated record. The transcript is spliced from 6 exons.
UGCCUAGUGCUGGGCUCCCCAGCACAUGAGAGACAUGGACCUGCUGCACUGAGUCCUGCAAAAGGCCACAAAGGUGAUUCAGGGCCAUAUAAGCAGAGGCUGAGAGUUGGGCUUAUUCAGCCUGGAGAAGAGAAGGCUGAAGGGGACCUUAUCAGUGUUUAUAAAUAUCUGACUGGAGGGGAGAGGGGAGUAAGGAAGAUGGGCCAGACCCUUCUCGGUGGUGGUGCCCAGUGACACCACCAGAGGCAAUGGCCAUAAACAGAAAUAUAGGAAAUUCUGUGUGAACGAAAGAAAUAACUUUUUUACGGUUCAGUGGUCAAACACUGGAGCAAGUUGCCCAGAGAGGUUGUAGAAUCUCCAUUCUUGGAGAUAUUAGAAACCUGACUGGAUGCAGCCCUGAGCAAACUCCUUUAUUUGCCCCUGCUUUGACCGAGGAUCGGACCAGAUGGUCCCAAAAAUGCUCAACCAUUCUGUGAUUCUGUGGAGUGGACACACCUGUGCAUUUAUACAUCUGUGAACACACAGGCACCAGCAUCUUGCUCCCAUUGCUUCUUCUCUCCUCUGAUGGUGUUUAAGCCCUUUUGAACAGCAGCCCAUGGAAGGGGAUGGGUGGACAGAUUGUCUAUUAAAACAGGAUCAAGGCCAUAAGAAUAACAGCAUGAGAACAAUGCGAGAACAACUGACAACAGAGGAAAACAGCUGUCCCAGAAGAGCUGGAAAACACUCUUAUGGCAGCUUAGGAGAAAAGAACAUUGUACCUUGACAAGCACUGUGGUUUCCCAUCUCUGUCAAUGGGUUCAGCAAGUGACUCAGAGUGACACAUAAAUGAACAGUCAGCGCCACUCCCUGCAGUGUCUGGCCAUUCAGAGAACUCCCUCACCACCCAUACAUCUUUGUGGUUUGAGAAGUCUGACAAGAUUGCCAUCAAAAGUGGAAAAUUCGGGAAAGCCCAACUCUGUUUUGACAUCAGCCACUGGUUUAAAAUGCCAAAGCACAGAGAAAGCAAAACCACAAAGAUACAGGAACUGCAACACAACUGUUGUCAAGUGUUAAUACAUGCAUAUUGAACCACCACGUCCUGAAUGUGAUAAGCACCUGCCAGGAUCUGCUCCAGGACUCACCAGAGCUGUCCCUAAUGAGACCUGAUUUGCUCUUGAGUGUGUCUGUUCCCUGCGGAUGCUGGAGAGUCCCCCCACAGAUGGUGCAGAGGAUGCUCUUGUGUCUGGAGCCACGUGUGCUACGUCUCAUCUUCACAUGGAGUACCUAUCUGCCAGAGUAGAGCUGGCAAAGGCAGGAUAUAGGGCAGAGCAGAGACCAGGGAAAUGGCAGCCCCGUCACCGAGCCAGCGCUGCAGCAGAGCUGAUGGAGUAUCUAGGUCAGUGUGCAGCAGCAAUUCUUCGCAGAUGACUGAGAUCUACAGAGCCAAAGGCCAGCCCUGGCAGUAGAGCCAAGGGCUCCUUUUGCAACUGAAGGGUGUAAAAUCAGCUCCCCCUUUCAAGCAGCGUUCGCAGGAGGGAAGUCCAAGCCUCAGCCUCCAUGAGCUGGAACUAACGCCCUUCGGCUCCGCUUACCCGUCCCUGCUCAGCGGAACACAGGCUGGGAAAUCAGCGUUGCCAUGGGAUUCGGAUACAAAAGGCUGAAAGAUGUGGAUGUCAAUCAAGUACCCAGAUAUACAGGGAGGAUAUUUUCAGCCCUCAAACUAAAGCUGAUGUGGAAGCUCUUCUCUAAGAAACAACACUUUGCUUUCUCACGCAUGAGAGCAAUGUCAAAUGUUACCCAAAUUUUUUUAUAUUUUAAAUGUCCUCACUUAGCUUUGAAGGUUUUCAAAUUUCACACAGGUUUUAGGAAGAGCUCAUGCACUCAAACACUUGGCUACUUUUUCCAAAUAUCCUGCUUGGCCUAAUGAGAGGCAUUGCCUCUGCUGACAGCCUUAGUGCCUUCAGAAGAGAUACAGCUUUGGAAGCCAGCACACUGCCUGCUGCGUGUGCACAGAUCGUGUAUCAUGGGAUCUUUCUCCUUUCUGCUUCUAUGCCUCAACCCACUGGGACAGGGGCAUGAAAGGAUCAGUGCUUUCCCUAUAUAUCAUCCCUGAGCAUCAAUAAGACUGGCAGCUGUCUCUCAAGAUUUGUGCUAAACCGUUCUUUAGAGGUUGAUUCACAGAGCUACAGCCUUCAAAGUCAAGACACACUGUUAGAUCAUUCUGUCAGGUAGCAGAGGCCAUCAGGAUUUGUGCUGAUUUUUGUUAUGUUAAAACAUAUCCUUCAAAAAAAGACAGUCCACUCCUGCUUUGAUAGCCACAGAAGAGGGAAGAUUUCCCUGUACUGACAGAAGUUUAGAAAGUCAUUCAUGAGGUUUAUUCUCCCUUGUUGAAAACACUAGGAGAAUUUUCCUGAUAAUCUUGAUUCCUGACAGAAGAAUACAUCAAAUUUUGUGCUUAGGAGCUAAACUGGUAAACUGUGAUGCCAAACAGCUAACUAACCUG